This 429-nucleotide ribosomal RNA is filed under the name Bacteroidota bacterium. RNAcentral describes it as "Bacteroidetes bacterium partial 16S ribosomal RNA". It matches the Rfam family "Bacterial small subunit ribosomal RNA", at positions 355 to 776 of the family's 1533-position model. The record is from RNAcentral. Lineage: Bacteria; Pseudomonadati; Bacteroidota.
UAGGGAAUCUUCCGCAAUGGGCGAAAGCCUGACGGAGCAACGCCGCGUGAGUGAUGAAGGUCUUCGGAUCGUAAAACUCUGUUAUUAGGGAAGAACAAAUGUGUAAGUAACUAUGCACAUCUUGACGGUACCUAAUCAGAAAGCCACGGCUAACUACGUGCCAGCAGCCGCGGUAAUACGUAGGUGGCAAGCGUUAUCCGGAAUUAUUGAGCGUAAAGCGCGCGUAGGCGGUUUUUUAAGUCUGAUGUGAAAGCCCACGGCUCAACCGUGGAGGGUCAUUGGAAACUGGAAAACUUGAGUGCAGAAGAGGAAAGUGGAAUUCCAUGUGUAGCGGUGAAAUGCGCAGAGAUAUGGAGGAACACCAGUGGCGAAGGCGACUUUCUGGUCUGUAACUGACGCUGAUGUGCGAAAGCGUGGGGAUCAAACAGG